UUCUCGUCUUCGAGACUGGUCAUCGUUGUUGCUUUCUAUCUCGUCAUUGUCUUGCACUCAAUCGCGCGCCUUCGUUGCGCUCUUUGUCGCCGGCGGCAGAAGCAGCAGGUCCUGGGGCUCGUCAUCUUCUUGCUUCGAGUCUCACCGUCAGCUUCCCUCGCACAAUCAGAAGCUGCUUCAUGAUUUGGUGAGUUCUAACAAAUUCUCCUGCUCCUAUCAUCUGUAAUCGAGAACUUCGUUUUUCAUAUGAUCGGGCUUAUAGUCAGAGAAUAUAUUUAUGUCACUGUCUCAAUUCCCCUGGUCCCCGACUUUUAGAUGGAUACCAAAUUGGGCAUAUUUUGUCUUAGGACAGUGACAUUAUGCCUGUUCUAUUGUGAAUGUUAUCGAAAGCUUGGGUGAUGCAAAUGUGGUUCAAGAUGGGUUUAAGGUUCAUGCCAUUUUGGUUAAGAAUAGUUGUUUUGAUGCUAGUUUAUAUUAAGGUCUGUUUGGUUAGAAUGUAUUUUAGGUGUGGGAAAAUUGAGCUUGCGCGGAGGGUGUUAUAUGAAAGUUCUGAGAGAGAUGUUGCUUUGUGGGGUGCCAUGGUUGCUGGUUUUGCACACCAUAGGAUUCGGAUUGAAGCAUUACAGUAUGUGAGGUUGAUGGUAGAUGAAGGAAUAAUGCUGAAUUCGGCUUUGAUGAUGGGUGUUCUUCCCUUAGUUAGGGAGCUUGGCACAUUGCGGAUAGGUCAAGAGGCUCAUGCUUUGAUGAUGGGUGUUCUUCCCUUGGUUGGGGAGCUUGGGUGCCAUGAUUUAUAAGCAUGCUUUGGCCUGGAUUGAGUUUGCUGGUUGUCGGAGACCGAAGAGGAGCAGUGUUUGGAAGCUUAGUUGAAGGGCCUCUUAGACCAUCCAAUAAGAAAUACCAGGGAACAAAUAGUACAUUUGUUUUCACAAAUAUUUCUGGCCAUCCUGUUAUAUAUCGUCCAACAGGUAUCUUCUUCUGUCCGAGUUUGAACAUGUUACUCUUUCAUCCUUUUUGUUGUCAUAAUUAUACGAUGCUUAGCUAGCAAUCAAAAUCCAAGAUUAAUGAAUCAGUGUUAGUUUUUCUUGUUAUGUGGUGCAUUGACAUUUGAAUCUAUGGUGCAAACCUUAGAAAUUAUACCCAUGAAGAUCAUUAAAAGGUUAAAUUUCAGGAAUUGUGUGACAUAUAGUGAACAUAAUGUCAUCUUUCAACUAUAUAUAAGAACCAUUUCCUAUG
Molecule: non-coding RNA, 1233 nt
Organism: Arachis ipaensis
Lineage: Eukaryota; Viridiplantae; Streptophyta; Magnoliopsida; Fabales; Fabaceae
Source: RefSeq, a predicted model, not a curated record